RNAcentral lists this long non-coding RNA (306 nucleotides) under Brassica napus (rape). Its description in RNAcentral is "long non-coding RNA (BNAP_LNC008539)". Lineage: Eukaryota; Viridiplantae; Streptophyta; Magnoliopsida; Brassicales; Brassicaceae. The record is from RNAcentral.
AUGUCGAUCGAUGUUGAAGGAUUUAUAUCGAUAGAUGUUGAAGGCUUUAUAUAGAUCGAUGGUUGGUUUGCUCUGUCGAUCGUAUGCGUGUAUCGUGUUCUUCCUCAACCUGUUUCUGAUCGAUGUUGAUCUGCUUCAUCGCGUCUUUGUAUGUUUAAAAGUUCCUCAUUUGUGAAACCUUCAUGUACUUCAUCUGCUCCUGGCUCAUAUAUUGUUGUUUCUACUGCAUAGCUUUCGUGAUGGUGAUCAUCUGCCCAACUACCAAUUGAGUAGUAUCCUUCUCGCACUCGGUUCUCUUCUGUGUCG